RNAcentral lists this ribosomal RNA (253 nucleotides) under uncultured bacterium. RNAcentral describes it as "partial 16S ribosomal RNA". It matches the Rfam family "Bacterial small subunit ribosomal RNA", at positions 524 to 776 of the family's 1533-position model. The record is from RNAcentral.
UACGAAGGGGGCUAGCGUUGCUCGGAAUUACUGGGCGUAAAGCGCACGUAGGCGGCAUUGCAAGUCGGAUGUGAAAUCCCUCGGCUUAACCAAGGAAGUGCAUCCGAAACUGCUGUGCUUGAGUACGAAAGAGGAUCGCGGAAUUCCCGGUGUAGAGGUGAAAUUCGUAGAUAUCGGGAGGAACACCAGUGGCGAAGGCGGCGAUCUGGGUCGAUACUGACGCUGAGGUGCGAAAGCGUGGGGAGCAAACAGG